This 257-nucleotide long non-coding RNA is filed under the name Numida meleagris (helmeted guineafowl). RNAcentral describes it as "lncRNA (ENSNMEG00000003290.1)". The record is from RNAcentral. Lineage: Eukaryota; Metazoa; Chordata; Aves; Galliformes; Numididae.
GUGGGCCCGCCACGUGCUGGGGGCGCCCCCACGCCCCCGUGGUUACUGACUGUGUUGCUAUGUCUUAUUCAUACUUUAGUAAUAUAUGUGACAUCUGUCACUGCAGGAGUGAGGUUGAAGGCAGAGCUCAGCUGGGCAGCUCUAUGGACCCUGGCAGCUACAGAUCUCUGGAUGAUGUCAACUGCUUCUGACAAUUGAAGUAAUUAUUUGGCUUGCCCAGUCCCUUCUCUACUUCCAACUCUUCAUCAGUCCUUGAU